Molecule: ribosomal RNA, 351 nt
Filed under: uncultured bacterium
Lineage: Bacteria
Description: bacterial SSU rRNA
Rfam family: Bacterial small subunit ribosomal RNA
Source: RNAcentral
UCAGCAGGCCGCGGUAAUACGUAGGGUGCGAGCGUUAAUCGGAAUUACUGGGCGUAAAGCGUGCGCAGGCGGUUAUAUAAGACAGAUGUGAAAUCCCCGGGCUCAACCUGGGACCUGCAUUUGUGACUGUAUAGCUAGAGUACGGUAGAGGGGGAUGGAAUUCCGCGUGUAGCAGUGAAAUGCGUAGAUAUGCGGAGGAACACCGAUGGCGAAGGCAAUCCCCUGGACCUGUACUGACGCUCAUGCACGAAAGCGUGGGGAGCAAACAGGAUUAGAUACCCUGGUAGUCCACGCCCUAAACGAUGUCAACUGGUUGUUGGGUCUUCACUGACUCAGUAACGAAGCUAACGC